This 2010-nucleotide long non-coding RNA is filed under the name Nicotiana tabacum (common tobacco). RNAcentral describes it as "long non-coding RNA (NTAB_LNC003170)". The record is from RNAcentral. Lineage: Eukaryota; Viridiplantae; Streptophyta; Magnoliopsida; Solanales; Solanaceae.
CCAACCGCAGACCUUAAGAAUUAGCUGAAAAGAGAACAAAAAAUAAAACCUAGACUAAGAAAUCGGGAGCGCCGCAAUACCCCAAGAAUGCCAAUCCCUGUAUUUCAUCUUCUUCACCCCAAUGCCACUCCCCCAUGAACGACCUCUCACCUGACCCAUUUUUUCCCAUCUCUGAACCAAUCCUUCCCCCAUUUUAAUAUCUUCUUCGUUUUCUCAAGAUAGAAAAGGAAAGAAACUCUCACACACACAAAGAGGAGAAGAUCUGAUAAAAAUAAAGAGAGAGGAGAAAAUCGUGAAAGCAAAAACAAAGAGUCUUCUUCUUCUAAUGGUCCGUUUCUUUGAGAUUCAUAUAAAAUGCACACACAAAGAUUGGAGUAUAAGGUUUCUUUGUUAAGUUAAUUUGUGUCCAAGUUUUACAAAAAAUAUAUGUAUAUAUUUCUGUUCAUCCUUCCGUUCUUUUAGUUUUGGAUUUUUAAACAUGGAGUUCAAUCGAGUUCGAGGUGUCGUUCGUAGACCGGUUCGUGAACCCGUUUGAGUUUGAUUGUUGUCUCGAGUUUUGGUUGUAGCGUUCGCACGAUUUCUGCCCGUGUAUUACUGGAAAUUUCAUCAAUUGGAAGUUCUAUUUUUAGUUGUCAUAGUUGUUGAAGUUCCAUUAAUUGGAAAGUAAUUUCAGGUCAAGCUCUUUCUCCUCUUGUUCUUGUUUUGGUGUAGAUUUUCCAGUAUGAUAUGAGCUUGGGUUCAAAGGGAUUAGGAUUGUUUUAUUUCAGUUAUACAAAAAUAGAUAAUAACAAAGAGUGAUAGUAAACAAUGAAGCAUAUACUGUUUGGAUUUGUUUGGAUUAGGUCUGCAUAAUUGGAGCUCGAACUAGUUUUGCUAUUUUACCAUUGCGUCAUAAGUUACUGUUUUUUCAUAUUUUCUUUAGUCCUCAUUUGAAUGCUCCUACUAUUUUCUUUGGAAUUGGGAGUCAUACAUGUUUUGAAUUGGAUUUAGUUUAGAUUUGUGGAAUAAUUUGUGUUUGCAAUCCUAGCAUGAUAGUAUAAAUAUUCAAUUUAUUUGGUCGGAAUGCUUGAUACUUUUAAAUGUUAUCGCUACUUGUCAAUUUCUGAACUUCUUUUAACUCAUGAGUUAUAUUAAUUUCAGUGAUUGGAGUUAAGCUUUAGUAAAGAAAAAAAAACUUUAGGAAGUAAUUGACUUAGACUCUUUAGGAGACCUUUCUUUCGUACGUUGGAAUCUAUCAAAUUAAUCUUAAUACAUCAAAUUCCAUCCAAGUCUAAAUUCCAUAAUUGUUUGCUUUACGACCAUCUCGAAUUGGUUUAGGAAUAAUGAUCAUGACAUUCGUAGUUGAUUUAGGUGCGUUAUUAUAAAAAUUACCUUCCUAAACUCGGGUGCACAUUUAUGUGACCCAAAUCCAAAUCUCAACGACGUUAAAUAAAAUUGUCGUGGACCGCGGGUGCAUUUCAUGUGGUGUGGUUCAAGAUGUAUUUUAGAUAACGUUGAAUCUUCCAAAAAUUAAUUAAAAGCGGCUAAUAAGUUAAAAAUGUACCAUAGGCUAAAACAUGUAUUAAAAUCAGAUAAUAGGCCAAUUAUAACAGUUGAGCGACCGUGCUAGAACCACGGAACUCGGGAAUGCCUAACACCUUCUCCCGGGUUAACAGAAUUCCUUACCCGGAUUUCUAUGUUCACGGACUGUUAAACAGAGUCAAUCUUUUCCUCGAUUCGGUAUUGGAACCGGUGACUUGGGACACCAUAAUCUCCCAAGUGGCGACUCUGAAUCUUUAAAUAAAAUAAUCCCGUUUCGAUUGUCACUUUAAGUUGAAAAAAAACUCCCUUAUACCCUUUUCGGGUGGUGUAGGUAAAAAGGAGGUGUGACAAUCCUUUAGGAGCGGUAUUGUUGAAACUUGAUGUGAAUGAGGAUGAAGGUAGUGUGGAGUGUAUCAAUGCUUUGCACGGAAUGGGUUCUUAUUCUUAUGAGCCCCGUAAGCUUUCUUUGGACCUUGAGAAUAGAAAGAC